This 494-nucleotide ribosomal RNA is filed under the name uncultured bacterium. Its description in RNAcentral is "partial 16S ribosomal RNA". It matches the Rfam family "Bacterial small subunit ribosomal RNA", at positions 28 to 507 of the family's 1533-position model. The record is from RNAcentral.
GACGAACGCUGGCGGCGUGCUUAACACAUGCAAGUCGAACGGAAAGGCCUGCGUUCCCUUGUGGAUUGCGGGUACUCGAGUGGCGAACGGGUGAGUAACACGUGAGUGAUCUGCCCCCAACUUGGGUAUAAGCCUGGGAAACUGGGUCUAAUUCCCGAUAGGACUGCAGGGUGGUGCCUGUAGUGGAAAACGUUUUUCUAGUGGUUGGGGAUGAGCUCGCGGCCUAUCAGCUUGUUGGUGGGGUAAUGGCCUACCAAGGCGGCGACGGGUAGCCGGCGGGAGAGGGUCGACGGUCGAAAUGAAGCUGAGACACGGCCCAGAGUCCUACGAGAGGCAGAAGCGGAGAGUAUUGCACGCAGGGCGGAAGCCUGAUGGAUCGACGCCGCGUGGGUGAUGACGGCCUUCGGGUUGUAAACUCCUUUCGACCGCGAGGAAGCCACCUGGUUGGAAGGGUGGUGACGGUAGUGGUAGGAGGAGCACCGGCUAACUACGUG